GCUAGUAAUGGCAGGUCAGCAUACUGCCGUGAAUACGUUCCCGGGCCUUGUACACACCGCCCGUCACACCAUGAGAGUUGGGAAUACCCGAAGCCUGUGAGCUAACUAUUUAUAGAGGCAGCAGUCGAAGGUAGAAUCAAUGAUUGGGGUGAAGUCGUAACAAGGUACC
This 169-nucleotide ribosomal RNA is filed under the name uncultured bacterium. RNAcentral describes it as "partial 16S ribosomal RNA". It matches the Rfam family "Bacterial small subunit ribosomal RNA", at positions 1334 to 1500 of the family's 1533-position model. The record is from RNAcentral.